Molecule: transfer RNA, 72 nt
Filed under: Loxodonta africana (African savanna elephant)
Lineage: Eukaryota; Metazoa; Chordata; Mammalia; Proboscidea; Elephantidae
Rfam family: tRNA
About the family: Transfer RNA (tRNA) molecules are approximately 80 nucleotides in length. Their secondary structure includes four short double-helical elements and three loops (D, anti-codon, and T loops).
Source: Rfam by way of RNAcentral
GAGGAUGUAGCUCAGUGGUAGAGUGCAUGCUUUGUGUGUAUGAGUCCCUGGGUUCAAUCCCCGGCAUCUCUG